ACGAGCCCAGACAUGCAGCCAGCUGCCUGCUUACGCUGAAACCCUGGCCCUGCCACUGACCAGCCCUCUGACCUUCCGCAGGUCACAUCAGCUCACUGGACCUGGGUAUCCUUAGCUUCCAGAAGGGCAGAGUGUUAGCCCCUCACAGUGCUGUUACAAGAAAUGGAUGCUUUCACCUCGACGAGCGAGCACCGUCUAAAUGGCUGAGCCUGGGGCCGGGCACACAAAGGACAGAACACCAGCUAAGCCCCGCCCAGUCAGGGCCACCUUACUCCCACGGCACUCUGUGCACUUCUGCUAGAAGGGGAAACCAAGGCACCGAGAAGCAAGGUGGUGGGCCUGAUGUCAUACAGCAGGUAAGUAACCCCGGCUGUCUGGUUCUGCAUUCUUGCGCCCUCUGCCCAAGGUCAAGGGUUUGCAAGGAACUCCCAGGCCAUCAGAGUUGGGGGGGGGAGGAGAGCUAUAGCAUCUGCUCUGCAUCUCCAGUCCACUUGCCAGGACAGUGAGGGAGGAGGGCCAGGCUCUCUUCAGCCCAGCCGGGAACCAAAUGACCAGGGUGACCUGAAGAGAGGGCAGGGAGCCAGCUGCACUGGCAGGUGGCAGGGUGGGGCGUCUAGCAGGACUUCUCAGAAUGAAGGGUGAAGGCAGGUGAUGCGUGGGGCCACCCCACCCAGGCCCCAAGGCACAGGCCCCACCUGCUGACAUCAAUAAGGGCAGGGUGGGCCUCUGGAGUGGCUCCAGCCCCGAGGCAGCCCUCAGCCAGACCUCCAUCUUAGGAGCUGGCACCCUGCUUGGAUGGCACCCCCCCCUCAACCCUCUGGGUUGGCUCUGUCUUGCCCUGCCUUUGCUCACACUGUUCCUCUUGCCAGCAGUGCCAUUUUUCCUCCUUGGGUCUGCCUGUCCCAGGGGCACCUCCUCCAGGAAGCCCUCCCAGACCACACAAGCGUAUAGUCAUUCCUGCCUCCCCCAGCACACACCAAAAAUAAAGCUGGGCUUUGACACA
Molecule: long non-coding RNA, 1003 nt
Filed under: Felis catus (domestic cat)
Lineage: Eukaryota; Metazoa; Chordata; Mammalia; Carnivora; Felidae
Description: lncRNA (ENSFCAG00000049380.1)
Source: RNAcentral